CGGGGGGAGCAAGCGUUGUUCGGAUUUACUGGGCGUAAAGGGCGCGUAGGCGGCGCAACAAGUCACUUGUGAAAUCUCCGGGCUUAACUCGGAGCGGCCAAGUGAUACUGUCGUGCUAGAGUGCGGAAGGGGCAACUGGAAUUCUCGGUGUAGCGGUGAAAUGCGUAGAUAUCGAGAGGAACACCUGCGGCGAGGGCGGGUUGCUGGGCCGACACUGACGCUGAGGCGCGAAAGCCAGGGAGCGAACGGGAUUAGAUACCCGGUAGUCCUGGCCUUUAAACGAUGGAUGCUUGGUGUCCGGGGUUACAUAGUCCCCGGGUGCCGUCGCUAACGCCUUAAGCAUCCCGCCUGGGGAGUACGCACGCAAGUGUG
This 372-nucleotide ribosomal RNA is filed under the name uncultured organism. RNAcentral describes it as "bacterial SSU rRNA". It matches the Rfam family "Bacterial small subunit ribosomal RNA", at positions 526 to 896 of the family's 1533-position model. The record is from RNAcentral.